Molecule: long non-coding RNA, 2799 nt
Organism: Artibeus jamaicensis (Jamaican fruit-eating bat)
Lineage: Eukaryota; Metazoa; Chordata; Mammalia; Chiroptera; Phyllostomidae
Exons: 3
Source: RefSeq, a predicted model, not a curated record
AAAACUGUACUUGAACAGAAAUUAAAUAAAAAAAAUAAAAAAUAUUUGUCACAUUUUACUACUACUUCUCAGAAGCUUCUGGAAAUGGCCAAGCUAUGAACAACAACAACAAAGAGUAAUGGAAUGAUGGAACUCCCAAUCUGAGUAUGAAGAGAAGCCCCAUGUCCCAUAACAGCAGCAUCCCAAUGCCCCUAGAGAACUGCUCAGGGAGUUCCAGGGAACAGAAGUUAAGGACUUUUUUUCCGAAAAUCAACUGUGUUUAAAGAGAUGUUGUUAAAUUGGAGAAUAAAACAGCCAUCCUCAGAAAUACGGACUGAGCCCUGGCUGUAUACAGACACUGCCCCAUACAGGCUCAAGGAGCAGAAUGAUGAACACAAAGGCCCUUCCAUCCCAGCUGCAGGGAGCUAAGAGUCCAGGGGUAAGUGCCACAAUGCAAACACACUGCAAAUAUUAGAAGCACACAAGUUUCAGUAAGGGCUUUAAAGAAAAAGAGUGGAGUACACAAAAGAAGAUGGACAAGGGGACAUUUUUGCAGACAGGUUGGUCAGGGAGACCCUUGUAAGGAGGUAACAUUUUAAUGACACCUGAAGGGUGAGAAAUAAGGAGUGAGGCCCUGGGGAACCAGGGAAGAGUCCGAGUGGUCUGAAAGUUUCAUGUGCUCAUGAGCUUCAGGCUUUUGAGAAACAUGUGUAACAGCCUACGGCACAAUAUAUGACCCAUGUACUUGGUCUGUGGACGGUCCUUCAAUUUUUCUGCACUCAUCCCAAAGGGAGGGAAAUAUUUCUCUAUUUUCUCCUACAUUCAACUGAGAGUCAUGACAGCAGGGUCAGUGGACAAUGGCCUAAAGGCCAAGUCUAGUUCACCAUCUCUUCUUGUUUGACCAUAAGCUAAACAUUUUUAAAAACAUAUUUUCAAUCAAUUUUUAAAAAAUUGAUCGAUCAAUCAAUUUUUUUAAUUCAUGACACAUGAUAAUCCUGUGAAAUUCAAAUUUUAUUAGCAACUAUUUUUUUUACAACUCAGCCAUGCUCAUUUGUUCAGGCAUUACCUGUGGCUUUUUUCACGUGGUAAGAUCAGAUUUGUGUAUUGGUGAUAGACCUUAUUAUCCGCAAAGUUUAAAACGUUUAGUCUCUGGCCCUUUACAGGAAAAGCUCACUGACCCCUGUGUUGAAACAUUUGUUUGUUGAGAUUUCAUCAAUAACACUCUAAUGUCACAAAGCUUCAACUCAGUUUCCUGCCGGUGGUGUUAAUUGUAAGCUUUAAAUUCAUAGGAGUUGCUUUCUCUACCUUUACUUUUCAGGAAUACUGUCUCAUUAAUACACCAGAUAACCAGAUAAGUUUAUUUUGAAGGAUUUUUCUUUGCUUAACCUUAAUUCUUUAGUAGCUUCCUUCAUUCUGAUAUAUUGGAAAACUUAUGAAAUUAUAUUACAAAAAGUUAACAUUAGGUGUCAGUAUUUUACAUACUAUUUAGUAAUUGUGUGUUAGUGAAAUGUAAUAGAUUAUUACAGACAGCAUUCUCAUUGGAAAUUUUCAACUCUUUUUACAGUGUUUGCUCUACUAUUUGUUUUUGUUUUUGUAUUAUUGAAAUGUUCUUUAUGUAAUGCACAUGUUUCAAACUCUUCAUUUCUUUAGGUACCGCUUCUUUAUUUUUGCCGUAUAUCUGUGAGUAGGAAUGGAUAAGUGGCAUAGUACUAACAAGCAUCUUUUUUAAGAUAUUUUUUAAAAGAUUUUAUUUAUUUAUCUUUAGCGGGGAAGGGAAGGAGAGAGAGAGAGAAAUAUCAGUGUAUGGUUGUCUCUCGUGUGUCCCCUGCCAGGAACUGGCCUGCAACCCAGGCAUGUGCCCUGACUGGGAAUCGAACCGUGAUACUCUAGCAAGCAUCUUUUAAGUGACCUCCAUAACGAUCUGAGUGAGGUUUCAAAAUAGAGACCAUUUCAUGGCAGGGCAGGUCUGUGGGAAGAAUACCAGGGAGGCUUUACAGGGAAGAGGGGAGGGUAAUGAGUUUGAGCUCCUACUUGUGAUAUGGAGAGAUUUCCUUAACAUUAACAUUUAUAACAUUUUGAAGGCUAUUCUUUAACAUUCCAAUUUAUAGUAAUUUGAAUCUACAUCAAUUAGAAGGUUAUGACUUAACCUUCUAAUUGAUAACAUUGUAGGUACAGUGAGUAACCAUCCAGUCUCUACAAUGCAAGGUUGUUGUGAUGAUCAAAUAUACUAACACUUUUUCAUAAGCCACUUGUUAAAGUGACCAACUCAAUGGACAACCCACACAUGUUAACACUUCCCUCUAACCAUCACUGAUGUUUCUUUUACCUUUAAAUUAUUUUGAAUAUUUGGUCAAUAUAACAUAUGAAAAAAACCUAGCAUCUAGCAUUUAAGAAACAGAAGUUUUCUUUUCUCUAAUCAUUCAAUUGUGCCAAAUCCUGUAAUUCCAUGCGUGUGUGUAUGUGUGUGUCUUAUGUAUUUUCCCAUGCCUUUUUUGUUCAUUUCACUAAACUCAAAAUAAUUUUCAGAGAAUCAGAGAUUAAAUAAGAUCAAAUCUAUUUCAUAACUCUAAAUCUCUCUGAAAAUGCCUUUAGUUUGUUUGUUUUAAUGCUUCCAUGUUUAUCUCCAAAUUAUAAGCAAAAAGGAUUCCUAAAGAUAUAAAUAUUGUAUUGAAUCCUUAUAAAUCAGUAAGAAAAAAGAAAUAAUAAAGGGCAAAGAAUAGGAAUAGACAAUUCACAUACAAUACAAUUUCAAUGAUCAAUAAAUAUUUACUAUAGUGCUCAACCCUAGUAAUGAAAAAAUAAAGUAAAAAUAGAAACAUU